CCUACGGGUGGCAGCAGUGGGGAAUAUUGGGCAAUGGGCGCAAGCCUGCCCCAGCAAUGCCGCGUGAAGGAAGAAGGCUUUCGGGUUGUAAACUUCUUUUUUCAGGGACGAAGAAAGUGACGGUACCUGAGGAAUAAGCCACGGCUAACUACGUGCCAGCAGCCGCGGUAAUACGUAGGUGGCAAGCGUUAUCCGGAUUUACUGGGUGUAAAGGGCGUGUAGGCGGGAAAGGAAGUCAGAUGUGAAAACCCUGGGCUCAACCUGGGGCCUGCAUUUGAAACUGUUUGUCUUGAGUGCUGGAGAGGCAGGCGGAAUUCCUCGUGUAGCGGUGCAAUGCGUAGAUAUGAGGAGGAACACCAGUGGCGAAGGCGGUCUGCUAGACAGCAACUGACGCUGAGGCGCGAAAGCGUGGGGAGCAAACAGGAUUAGAUACCCUGGUAGUC
This 443-nucleotide ribosomal RNA is filed under the name uncultured bacterium. RNAcentral describes it as "partial 16S ribosomal RNA". It matches the Rfam family "Bacterial small subunit ribosomal RNA", at positions 338 to 795 of the family's 1533-position model. The record is from RNAcentral.